GAUGAACGCUGGCGGCGUGCUUAACACAUGCAAGUCGAACGAUGAUGCCCAGCUUGCUUGGUGGAUUAGUGGCGAACGGGUGAGUAACACGUGAGUAACCUGCCCUUGACUCUGGGAUAAGCCUGGGAAACUGGGUCUAAUACCGGAUACGACCAUCUGGCGCAUGUCAUGGUGGUGGAAAGCUUUUGUGGUUUUGGGUGGACUCGCGGCCUAUCAGCUUGUUGGUGGGGUAAUGGCCUACCAAGGCGACGACGGGUAGCCGGCCUGAGAGGGUGACCGGCCACACUGGGACUGAGACACGGCCCAGCAUCCUACGGGAGGCAGCAGUGGGGAAUAUUGCACAAUGGGCGCAAGCCUGAUGCAGCGACGCCGCGUGAGGGAUGACGGCCUUCGGGUUGUAAACCUCUUUCAGUAGGGAAGAAGCGAAAGUGACGGUACCUGCAGAAGAAGCGCCGGCUAACUACGUG
RNAcentral lists this ribosomal RNA (467 nucleotides) under uncultured bacterium. RNAcentral describes it as "partial 16S ribosomal RNA". It matches the Rfam family "Bacterial small subunit ribosomal RNA", at positions 28 to 507 of the family's 1533-position model. The record is from RNAcentral.